UACGUAGGGUGCAAGCGUUGUCCGGAAUCAUUGGGCGUAAAGCGCGCGUAGGCGGCCCGAUAAGUCCGCUGUAAAAGUCAACGGCUCAACUGUUGAAAGUCGGUGGAUACUGUCGGGCUAGAGUACAGAAGAGGCAAGUGGAAUUCCUGGUGUAGCGGUGGAAUGCGCAGAUAUCAGGAGGAACACCUAUAGCGAAGGCAGCUUGCUGGGACGUUACUGACGCUAAGGCGCGAAAGCGUGGGGAGCGAACAGG
Molecule: ribosomal RNA, 253 nt
Filed under: uncultured bacterium
Lineage: Bacteria
Description: partial 16S ribosomal RNA
Rfam family: Bacterial small subunit ribosomal RNA
Source: RNAcentral